UUGCGGUCAUGGGUCAAGAGAUCAGAUAAUUCGAAUGAUUAAUUUAUACCUCUUCACCCAUAUGUAUGGGGGAGAAAAGAUUUAUAUACAUAUAAGUCAUAUUUUCUCUUGACUCAAAACUGAUAUGAAAUUAAAGAGACCCUCUCUACACCACAACAUAUCUCCCCAAUUAAGAGAGAAUAUGUGUGAGCAGAAGGUGUUCUCACAGACAGUGCC
This 216-nucleotide long non-coding RNA is filed under the name Elaeis guineensis (African oil palm). RNAcentral's name for it is "long non-coding RNA (EGUI_LNC027069)". Lineage: Eukaryota; Viridiplantae; Streptophyta; Magnoliopsida; Arecales; Arecaceae. The record is from RNAcentral.